This is a long non-coding RNA of Gigantopelta aegis, 476 nucleotides long. RefSeq lists it as uncharacterized. The record is from RefSeq and is a predicted model, not a curated record. The transcript has 3 exons. NCBI's taxonomy places the organism in Eukaryota, Metazoa, Mollusca, Gastropoda, Neomphalida, Peltospiridae.
UAAAAGACGAACGAAGGUUAAAAGCGAUAAUAUGAUUGGUCGGUUCCUAAACAGUCAUACCUGGGAUUUGAUUGGCUUAGAGAUAACACCAGGAAAAAACGCGCCAUUUGCAGUUUGCCAAAAUAAAUUUAAUAAUAAAUAAUGACAAAACAUUGUGUAUUUUGCAUUAUGAAUUGGAUUUGAGAUCAUUUUGAUUGAGCAGAAACAAUCACAGUUUAUUACCGAAUACUUGGCUAUGGCGGAAAAUGAAGAACUUCGAUCAAGUUUCGGAUGUCCUACUAUUUUCGUCACGUUUGGAAGGAAAAAAAGAAAAAUCGUCAGCACAUUCUGGUCAUCAUAUUAUGGAAAUAUUUGUGACUGAAUCCCAUCUGAAUGUUGGAUGACAUAUAUCAAGAUGACACUGAACAGGACAACUGAGGAAAAUGGAUGUGAAAUAAUCCAAUCUAACAGUUGGAAAUAAAUAUAUAUAGUAUUUA